RNAcentral lists this ribosomal RNA (472 nucleotides) under uncultured bacterium. RNAcentral describes it as "bacterial SSU rRNA". It matches the Rfam family "Bacterial small subunit ribosomal RNA", at positions 335 to 799 of the family's 1533-position model. The record is from RNAcentral.
ACUCCUACGGGGAGGCAGCAGUGAGGAAUAUUGGUCAAUGGACGCAAGUCUGAACCAGCCAUGUCGCGUGCAGGAAGACUGCCCCUAUGGGUUGUAAACUGCUUUUUAUACGGGAAGAAAUAUAGCUACGUGUAGUUAUUUGCCGGUACCGUAUGAAUAAGCAUCGGCUAACUCCGUGCCAGCAGCCGCGGUAAUACGGAGGAUGCGAGCGUUAUCCGGAUUCAUUGGGUUUAAAGGGUGCGUAGGCGGAAGUAUAAGUCAGGGGUGAAAGUUUGUGGCUCAACCAUAAAAAUUGCCUUUGAUACUGUAUUUCUUGAGUACAUUUGAGGUAGGCGGAAUGUGUUGUGUAGCGGUGAAAUGCUUAGAUAUAACACAGAACACCGAUUGCGAAGGCAGCUUACUAAACUGUAACUGACGCUGAUGCACGAAAGCGUGGGGAUCGAACAGGAUUAGAUACCCUGGUAGCACAGAG